UGAAGGUUUAGCAGCCUUUGUAAGCAGGCUGGGUAUCACUUCGGUGUUUGCCUGAUCCCAGAGUAAUCCACUGAGAUACAAUAAAUUGAAACAACAAAGUUUUGUGGCUCAUAGGGUGGCCCUUUGGGGUUCUUACUCAAUUUUUAGAAGAAAAUGCUCACGAGGCUGAAUUUUUCUUUAAAAAAAAAACAUAUAACUGUACUCUAAACUGUGUAGGCUUAGCCAACUGCAUGGCACUUCUAUGAUUGUUCUGCUGUUUUGUGGUAAAUGUUGAAAUAUUUCCUUAACUCAUCUUAAUAAAAAUAAUAUUCUUGUUCUAAAACGAGCUUAAAUCUGAAAUGCAGCAUGUCAAUGUUAAGGCAAAUAAUACUUUGUUCGUAUUCCCCAUGGAAUUAGGAUAACUGAGCUCAUCUUCUUACAUGAAAAGGGCCACUUCAGUAGUUACGUUUAUGUGGUACCAUAUAUCAUGGGCAGAAGGAGCUGAGGAGGCAGGGGGUCUUACCUGAAUCUCCAAGAGGCUGUAGGAUGGGCUUGUCCAGCUCUGGAAAACAAGAGUAGGAAAGGAAGGCUUCACUAAGAGGGAGAAGUUCCUCAGCUGGUGAGGUGGGUUUGCUGUCCCACAUAGGCAGCAGUGUUUUCUAAACUUCUUAGUGCUGUGUUCUCCUCAGAGAAAAGUGAGAAGUGAAGCUAGUGGGGCUGGAGACUUCAUCCCCUAAUUGACUUCACAAGGGACACACCAAUAUUCGUAUGACAAACACAACUCAUCUUAACCAGAGGAGCAGCAGCUCUCUGAGGAUCCUGUCUGGCUGGUGCGGUGUUCAUCCCUGAAUAUUUUCAGCCCUGGUGCUGGUCUCCACUGCAACUUUCCUCUCCUUACUUGCUUGAGCACAGUGCUGAAGACCAGACAGUGGCUCUCCAGGCAUAUAUGUAUCUGGGUGAUGUUGUGCAGCAAGUGACAGUGUCUAGGAAACAUCCCCAGAACAUCACAAAAAUAUCUGCGCUCCUGAUUUGGGGAGAGGAUGUGCUGCAUGGCCCAGAGGAAGCUCACGAGCAUCUCUCACCUGAGGAACCAGCCACCAAAUUUGUUGACAGUUUACAUGGUACACAGGAGGCAACUCUGCCCUGGGCAGUACUUUGGGCUCCAUGAGCACGAGCUUGUUCAGACACGACUCCUGGGGACAGAACUGCUGGCUGGAUUGCUGGACACACCAACAGCAAAGGGAAAUGUUCUCCUCCUUAAUCCAUACACGAGGCGGUAAUGCAGGUCCUGCUCCCUAUGUCCAGUAAGCAAACAGAAGCAUGGAGAAGCACCAGCAACCUACAGCUUAAGCCCCUUUAAAGGGUUUUCAAGCCAGGCAUGUGAGCCAGAGGCAUCCAAAGUCAGCAGUGAGGACAGAGUGGAGCACAGCACCCUGUCUGCAGCCACAAGCCACCGCCGAUGGAUGAAGCUGAGGGUCAGCAGCACUGGGGAUGCUGGUGCUGAGCUCCUGUGUGGAGCAGUGCAUUCACACCAAGCUGUGAGCUGCGGUGCCUUGGCAGGACAGCCGUGCUAAAUUUAGGAGGCUAGUCCCUCGUUUCUGUGCUACAGCAUCACGUCCAGGCUCUUCAGGGCGCACUAAAGCAGAACACAACAGCGAAGAGCAGAACGCCAGGGCUGGUCUCAUAUCUCCUCUUCAUGUCCACUCCAGACACCAGGUAAAGCCCAUCUCAGACAUGUUUUAAAGCCCAUCUCCCUCCCCAGAUACUCACUUGUAGCAACACAAGCAACUUCUCGAAGACAGGCUCGUAUCACUGUGCAUCUUCCCAAUUAAACAAAAUGUUUGGGAAUUUUCCAGAAGAAUUUCCAUUCUUCCCCUUCCACCCCCCACAUUUCUUACUUUUACACGGUUUGAACACUCAUGUCCACGUUUGCCUUGAGAUACACAAUGCCUUGAGACAGUUCGCGCUUUCAUGAAGCAACUCAGACAUUUAGUCCUUUUUCCAGGUCCCCCAGCACAGCUUGGCCUGAAAGGACAGCAAGCAGCUUCUCUUCCAGCUUGUACAGGUUGUCCCUACCCCAAGUUUAUGUGACUUCAAGUAGAUCCCAUCAUUUCCAGUGGGCAACAGUUCACACAAUGGCCCCACUCCUGCCUCACUUCUUGGCCUUCUGCUCCUGUGGUGCUGGGAUGGGUGUGAGGCAAUACUGGGGCACGUGUUGGUGCCAUUGGCAUCCCCAAGAUACAGAGUCUUUCUCAACUCAGGCGUCUGCCCGGGAUCUGUGGAGAGGGCCUCACACAUAUUCCUCCCUCAGAAACCCCCUGGCUCAGAAGCAAGAAGCAUCACAUCCCCGUGAAACCCGGUACUUCAGCUAAUCUAAAGCCCUGUAGGGAGUUGGGGCUAAUUAACUGAGUGCUGUGGCAUCCUGACAUAACUAUAUGGCUUCUGGGACCCACGCUAGUAUUUCUACCAAGCGUUCUCCUGCGCUGGGUGAUAUAUCUGCCUGGUCAAUGCCUGCUCAGGGGCCCCAGCAGAGGACUGGAGGCAGGGAUUAUGGACUUGGCAGCCGUCACUUUCUGUCAUGCCCACAACCACAUUUCACCCGGUGAUAUUUGGAGUCGUCGGUGCUACUUGGAAUGCAUUUUCCUGAAUAUAAGCUGGAAAUUACUGAUUUUUACCUUACACAGCUAGUAUAAAAGCACUAAUGUCCUAAUGAAGAGUCUCACUUAGCUAAAUGCUUCAUACAGCUGAGUAAAACAAAGAAUUUUACUAGAGCUUAACCCAGUCGUUAAUAAGCUUUUUAACCCUGACCUUUCAAAUCAAUGAUCUACCACUGGUUUUACCUUUCAAGAAGGAAUUCCAUUUUCAAGUGAUAAAACAUAUUUUGCACUCCUUACAAUCUAAUGAUUAUUCUCAGCGUUACUGGAUAUAUGAGGCCAUCAAACCAUUAGAAGGUAUAAAAUGUAUUAAUGUACAGCAUUCACGGCUACAUUUGCUUUAGAGUCAAUAAAAGGGAAACAAUUUAUAAAGGGCAUUUGUGCUCAUUACGGAAUAUCGAUAGAUUGUUUCUCCCAUCAUUUCUGAAGUAUGAAGAACUCCAUUUCAUGACGGAUAGCAGAGGAUUUGCAUAAGCUCUUUGCUUACUCCAUGAACUUCUCCAGCACAGAGCAGCAUGCAGGGGCUGUGGCCAGGUUGGAGCAGACUGGGCUGAGAUGUACAUGGGGUGACUGUGGUGGUCCCCACAAAUUGUUCCUUCCCAGGGGAUUGAGCAUCUCAAUUUGAGAGUCAUUCACAGUAGCCACAGGAAGGUUCAGCAGAUAUCUAUGGUGAUUUCUGCAUUAAACAUUAAUUAGCACAAGGCCGUGGGCAGACAGGAUUGAGGUUAGAAAAGAACAAGAGGAAUUAUUUGUGGGGAAGGUCAGGGAUGAUGAGCACAAGCGCUGCAAGAGCUUUGCAGAGCACCUUCCUAAGCAGCAGGAGGACGAGGGAGGCUGCUCCACACGUAGGGGAGAAAAUGGAAAGGAAUUACAGGUCGGAUAGAAAAGGAUACAGGAGCAUCAGUGCAAUGGCUAAAGGCAGAAGUUUCAUAGUCUGUACUAGUGAAUAACUCAAUUAACUGCAGAAAUAAAAUCUAUGAAGAGACAAAUGAUUAAGGCACUGGCCUGAGUCUCAGCAGACUCCGGCUGUUUUCAGGUUUCUGUCUGACUUUUGGCAAGCCUCUUCAACUCUCUGUGCCUUCGUUUCCCAUCUGUUAAGGAGGAAUAAUAAUAUUUCCUUUCUCUCCUGCCUAUUCCAGCAGUAAGCUCUCCUGGCAGGCACUGUAUCUCUCACAGCAUGUGUACAGGACUUUGCUCGCUGGGGUUUUGAUAUCUGCACUGAAGCAGGACGUACGGGGAUGAGGAGUGCUGUGACAGAGCAGCCCACUUUCAAUUUCUGAUGACCAGGGGACUAAAAGGUACACUAUAACUUGUUGAAGAGAUUUCUUAAUAUCAGUUCUUCAAGGACAACAGAAGAAAAAAAAAAAUCAAUCAGUAAAUUAGAGAAGGAUAGUGAUUCCCAUCUCUGUUAAGACCGGUAGGAGUCUGAAAUUAUCUUCCCAAGCAGAAAUAGUUUGUGAGAACACAGAAGACAUUAACUGCAGUACAAAAACAGACACAAGGACUUCUCCAUUUCUGAUCUUGCUGCUCUACUCGUCUGGCUUCUCUAUACAGACUGAGCUUCUCCACAUUUCUCACUGACAAGCCACCUUCUUGAUGCACGUAGUGGUUUCCCUCGCAUGCAUAUGCUCCUGCCCACGUGGUAAGAUGAAAUUGUGCCCACUCACAGGCACACACACAUCGCAAGCAAGGCUAGGUAAUAUCAGUUGCAGAGUAUUAUUUUAAGAGGACAACUGGCAAAUAUAUAAAAUUGAAUUUCAGCUGCAGAGACUUUCUGGUAAUAAGCAGUCCCAAUUAGAAAUACAAAUGUCACUGAAAGGGAGUGCGUCUGUUGACAGUAGACUUUGGAGAAAACUUUGGGUUUAGUGCUAGUAAAUUAAUCUUUAAUUAUGACCACUUCUCACUUCUGACAGAAGUGGCCUGCACAUACUCAAUGGACAGUGUGUGAAAGUUUCGGGGUGUUGCUUUCUUCUGACAAAUGAAACAUCUCGUCCCACAGAGGCCUAGCUCGGCUCAAGCCUGGGCCUGCUGCUGCCAGUGGCGCUGCAGAUGGUGAGAAGUCAUCUGUUAAAAACUCUGGUACUAAAACAGCAUCGCUCCCAUGCUCCUGAUAAACACAAAUACCAAGACUAAGACCUGUCUCGGUGUGGGUUUUCCAAGGGAUGGCAGAAAACAGUCCUUCCCCUGCUGUCCUUUCCCUGCCGGGGUCAGCGGCCUCCCCCUGCGCUGAGCACCUCACAGCAGAGGGGAGCACAGGAUGCUGCAGCAACCCCUGCUCAGGCCAACACCUCCAUUCCCGUGCUGGCUGUGUUAUUAAAAUAACAUUUCCACUUCCAAGUAAGUAAAUUAAUCUCGCUGGCAAGUUUGUCUUGUGACAGCCAACAUCUUGUCUCCCCGAGAACUGGGCUGGUGUCCUGAAAGCUGGAAAUCCAGCGCUAAAACCUGAGUGCAACAGCCAAGAGAUACACCAGAUCCAUCUUCUGAGGUAGCAGAUACAAUGAGAGAUCACAGUGCCCCUGAACUUUGCUGCCCUAAGGAGGCCGUGCUGCAGACCCGCCUCAGAAGGCCCGGCACACCUGCUUUGAGGCACAACGGGAAAAUCAGAACAUACCUUAUCAUAAAUAUGCAUAUGUGACACGGGAACCUGCUGCCUUCUUGGAGAGAUGCCACAAUUGACAGAACAAAAAGUACAACAAAACUUCACAUCACCGGUGGAUCAGAAGAACAGAGCUCAUCCGAGGUAUGAGUCAUUUCCAUCAAAAGAGGAGGAUGCCUUGAUCUGUGCGCGAGUGAGCGCUGGAACAGCAGCUGUUGGAGCAAAUACAAACAUUCAUGCCAAGGAUUGUAAGGAUGGAGUUUAUCUAAUAUGUAAACAACCACCUGCUGCAAAUGAAAAAUUACACCCACAACCACCUGAAUAAGAUAAGCAUAUGAUGCGGGAAAUGAAGAGACAGAUUUAUUAUUAAUUUGCUGGAACUUUUGAACCAAACAUCUCUUUUGCAACGGAACAGUAGGAUGCACAAAGAAAUAGUACUCCUUGCCCCAGAUCUGCUCAGCAGCAUUUAUUUUGCCUAAGUGAUUUUCCUUUUUUUUUUUUCUUUUUUUUUUCUAAGUCUGGUGGAGAUGAAAACACCAACCCAAAGAAGAUAAUUAAAAGCUAAAUGAAACCACAUACAGCUGUGCUACUACAUGGCUAAUGAACAUGCAAAUAUAUACAUAUGACAAGGACAUAAUGCAGACUGGCUGCCUUGAGUGCUUAGUGCAGAUUUCCAAGAGCUGGAAAUGCUAUUGAUUAUAACUGAGCUAAACUUCCUGACUCCAGACUUCAAAGAUCAGCCUCAAUAUAAUCAUCACGCAGCAUAUGGAAACAUGGCUGCUAGGAGCUGAUGAAUAAUGGCUCGGGGACCUGAACAUUUGCACGUAGGAUGGGAGAUGUCCUCUUGGCCACUGAGGAGGCCUGGAGGCUUCUCGGCAGCCAGGACCAGUGCCAUAUAAUCCUCCUCAGUCUUGGCAUGCUCCAUCUUGCUGUCAGUUGAGAUUUUGGAGUAGUGGGUUUUAGUUGGGAUAUUUAUUUUUGCUUUCCCACUUCACUUGGCAAGAAGCUAAUGUGUGGAGGACACAUUUCUGUGAGGACCAAGGCUGUAGGUAACAGACAUAAGGCAAAGCUUCUGGGCUCACAGGAGACACAAGCAAGAUGGACAGGUUCUUCUCUGAGGGCCUUCUUGUAUACUGGCAUGAAAGAAGAUCAAAUCAGAUUUCUCUUAUUAGUUAAAAAAUACCGACCCAAUUCAAUUUACCAUGAGAUGUCAAAUACAGGGAAAAAAAAAAAAGUUUGGAAACAUUGACGUGUGGUCUUGAAUUGAGUGAGAAUAAGCUACCAUUGAUCCCUCUGAUCUUGCAUCCAGCCAGACUAUAAAAUGCAAAACAAAACUUGUUCCUCCUCCACAAUGACACCCAAAACAGCACAUAGUCUUGGGGACUUUUGCGGGCCAUGUUUAGAAGAGCAGCAAGGAGAAUGCAGAGCACCCUCGGACCUUGGUGUAGAAGAUGGCUGAGCCACCAGGACAGGAGAGAGGCCACCUACAGAAACCAAAUUUGUGCUGAACACAAUGCCAAAACUGUGAUGGAUGGGUGUGCGUGUUUGCUGUUGAGUACACAGGGCUCCUCACAACGCUCAAGGCAAAGAUGGACGCUACUUCUCCCAUGAAGGGUAACCACAUGUGAAGAGAGAGAUUCCAAUUCAAGAUUUCUUACUGUGCCUUUGCCAGAGACAUUCCUAAGGAGAUGGAAACUCUCUGAAUGUGGAAUUUUCGCAUGAGUGCAAAAUAAUAAAAAGCAUGUGUGUAUUAAAAAGGGAUCAACUUAAUGGGAAAUGAGCAUUGGGUUACAUUAAUAUUCUAUUACAGUAAAAAUCAUAUUUAAUAAAUUUUCUCCAGAUUUUUCAGAA
Anas platyrhynchos (mallard) is the source of this 7080-nucleotide non-coding RNA. NCBI's taxonomy places the organism in Eukaryota, Metazoa, Chordata, Aves, Anseriformes, Anatidae. The record is from RefSeq and is a predicted model, not a curated record.